CCCAUUUCUGCCCAUUUUCCACCCAUUUUUCCCCCAUUUCCCCCAAUUUCACCCCAAUAUUCCCCUCUGCUGUCCAUUCUGACCCCCAUUUCCCCUCAAUUCUGCCCCAUUUCCACCCCAAUAUCUCCCCCCCCGCCCUCUCCCCUUCGCUCCCUUCUCCCACAGUAUCCCCCUAUGGGAGCCAUCCCCAUUUAGGGUCCAAAAGGUGGGAUUUUGGGGUCCAAAAAGUGGCAUUUUGGGUCAUUUUGGGUCGAAAAAGUGGCAUUUUGGGUCCUGGCAGAGCACAUACAGCACCUGAAGGCGGAGGGCUGCGGCUGCAGCGCCCCCUACAGGCGCGGAGGUCCCCAUUCUGCCCCAUUCUGCCCCCAUUUGCCCCCAUUUCUGCCCCAUUUCCCCCCCAUUUCUGCCCAUUUUUCACCCAUUUUUCCCCCAUUUCCCCCAAUUUCACCCCAAUAUUCCCCUCUGCUGUCCAUUCUGACCCCCAUUUCCCCCCACUUUUGCCCCAUUUCCCCCCAAUUUUGCCCCAUUUCCCUCCACUUCUACCCCACUCGCUCCCCCACUGUAUCUCCCUAUAGGACCCAUCCCCAUUUUGGGUCCAAAAGGUGGGAUUUUGGGGUCCAAAA
RNAcentral lists this long non-coding RNA (623 nucleotides) under Gallus gallus (chicken). RNAcentral describes it as "lncRNA (ENSGALG00010000463.1)". Lineage: Eukaryota; Metazoa; Chordata; Aves; Galliformes; Phasianidae. The record is from RNAcentral.